UACGGAGGGUGCAAGCGUUAGUCGGAAUUACUGGGCGUAAAGGGUGCGUAGGCGGGGACGUAAGUCAGAUGUGAAAAACUGGAGCUUAACUCCAGCCCUGCAUCUGAAACUGCGUUUCUUGAGGAAGAGCGGAGAAAACGGAAUUCCACGUGUAGCGGUGAAAUGCGUAGAUAUGUGGAAGAACACCUGUGGCGAAAGCGGUUUUCUAGCUUACUCCUGACGCUGAGGCACGAAAGCAAGGGGAUCAAAC
This 250-nucleotide ribosomal RNA is filed under the name uncultured bacterium. RNAcentral's name for it is "partial 16S ribosomal RNA". It matches the Rfam family "Bacterial small subunit ribosomal RNA", at positions 524 to 773 of the family's 1533-position model. The record is from RNAcentral.